GAUGAACGCUGGCGGCGUGCUUAACACAUGCAAGUCGAACGAAGCAUUUGCGACAGAUUUUUUCGGAAUGAAGUUGCUUAUGACUGAGUGGCGGACGGGUGAGUAACGCGUGGGUAACCUGCCUUGUACUGGGGGAUAGCAGCUGGAAACGGCUGGUAAUACCGCAUAAGCGCACAAUGUUGCAUGACAUGGUGUGAAAAACUCCGGUGGUAUAAGAUGGACCCGCGUCUGAUUAGCUAGUUGGUGAGAUAACAGCCCACCAAGGCGACGAUCAGUAGCCGACCUGAGAGGGGGACCGGCCACAUUGGGACUGAGACACGGCCCAGACUCCUACGGGAGGCAGCAGUGGGGAAUAUUGAACAAUGGAGGAAACUCUGAUGCAGCGACGCCGCGUGAGUGAAGAAGUAAUGCGUUAUGUAAAGCUCUAUCAGAAGGGAAGAUAGUGACGGUACCUGACUAAGAAGCGCCGGCUAAAUACGUG
RNAcentral lists this ribosomal RNA (481 nucleotides) under uncultured bacterium. Its description in RNAcentral is "partial 16S ribosomal RNA". It matches the Rfam family "Bacterial small subunit ribosomal RNA", at positions 28 to 507 of the family's 1533-position model. The record is from RNAcentral.